Molecule: ribosomal RNA, 63 nt
Filed under: Alternaria didymospora
Lineage: Eukaryota; Fungi; Ascomycota; Dothideomycetes; Pleosporales; Pleosporaceae
Description: partial 28S ribosomal RNA
Source: RNAcentral
GUCCAGCAAGCCUUUUUUUCAACUUUUGACCUCGGAUCAGGUAGGGAUACCCGCUGAACUUAA